GAUGAACGCUGGCGGCGUGCUUAACACAUGCAAGUCGAACGGUGAAGGCGGAGCUUGCUCUGCUGGAUCAGUGGCGAACGGGUGAGUAACACGUGAGCAAUCUGCCCCUGACUCUGGGAUAAGCGCUGGAAACGGCGUCUAAUACUGGAUACGAGCUGCGAAGGCAUCUUCAGCAGCUGGAAAGAACUUCGGUCAGGGAUGAGCUCGCGGCCUAUCAGCUUGUUGGUGAGGUAACGGCUCACCAAGGCGUCGACGGGUAGCCGGCCUGAGAGGGUGACCGGCCACACUGGGACUGAGACACGGCCCAGACUCCUACGGGAGGCAGCAGUGGGGAAUAUUGCACAAUGGGCGAAAGCCUGAUGCAGCAACGCCGCGUGAGGGACGACGGCCUUCGGGUUGUAAACCUCUUUUAGCAGGGAAGAAGCGAAAGUGACGGUACCUGCAGAAAAAGCGCCGGCUAAUUACGUG
This 468-nucleotide ribosomal RNA is filed under the name uncultured bacterium. RNAcentral's name for it is "partial 16S ribosomal RNA". It matches the Rfam family "Bacterial small subunit ribosomal RNA", at positions 28 to 507 of the family's 1533-position model. The record is from RNAcentral.